Molecule: ribosomal RNA, 447 nt
Filed under: uncultured bacterium
Lineage: Bacteria
Description: partial 16S ribosomal RNA
Rfam family: Bacterial small subunit ribosomal RNA
Source: RNAcentral
AGCGAACGCUGACGGCAGGCUUAACACUUGCAAGUCGAACGCCCCGCAAGGGGAGUGGCAGACGGGUGAGUAACACGUGGGAACGUACCCUUUGGUUCGGAAUAACUUGGGGAAACUCAAGCUAAUACCGGAUAAGCCCUUAUGGGGAAAGGUUUACUGCCGAAGGAUCGGCCCGCGUCUGAUUAGCUAGUUGGUGAGGUAAUGGCUCACCAAGGCGACGAUCAGUAGCUGGUCUGAGAGGAUGAUCAGCCACACUGGGACUGAGACACGGCCCAGACUCCGACGGGAGGCAGCAGUGGGGAAUAUUGGACAAUGGGGGCAACCCUGAUCCAGCCAUGCCGCGUGAGUGAUGAAGGCCUUAGGGUUGUAAAGCUCUUUUACCAGGGACGAUAAUGACUGUACCGGGAGAAUAAGCCCCGGCUAACUUCGUGCCAGCAGCCGCAGUAA